GGCGGACGGGUGAGUAAUGCUUGGGAAUAUGCCUUUUGGUGGGGGACAACAGUUGGAAACGACUGCUAAUACCGCAUAAUGUCUACGGACCAAAGUGGGGGACCUUCGGGCCUCAUGCCAAAAGAUUAGCCCAAGUGAGAUUAGCUAGUAGGUGAGGUAAUGGCUCACCUAGGCGACGAUCUCUAGCUGGUUUGAGAGGAUGAUCAGCCACACUGGGACUGAGACACGGCCCAGACUCCUACGGGAGGCAGCAGUGGGGAAUAUUGCACAAUGGGGGAAACCCUGAUGCAGCCAUGCCGCGUGUGUGAAGAAGGCCUUCGGGUUGUAAAGCACUUUCAGUCGUGAGGAAAGGGUGUAAGUUAAUACCUUGCAUCUGUGACGUUAGCGACAGAAGAAGCACCGGCUAACUCCGUGCCAGCAGCCGCGGUAAUACGGAGGGUGCGAGCGUUAAUCGGAAUUACUGGGCGUAAAGCGUGC
Molecule: ribosomal RNA, 477 nt
Filed under: uncultured Thalassomonas sp.
Lineage: Bacteria; Pseudomonadati; Pseudomonadota; Gammaproteobacteria; Alteromonadales; Colwelliaceae
Description: bacterial SSU rRNA
Rfam family: Bacterial small subunit ribosomal RNA
Source: RNAcentral